This 890-nucleotide ribosomal RNA is filed under the name Staphylococcus warneri. RNAcentral describes it as "bacterial SSU rRNA". It matches the Rfam family "Bacterial small subunit ribosomal RNA", at positions 13 to 886 of the family's 1533-position model. The record is from RNAcentral. Lineage: Bacteria; Bacillati; Bacillota; Bacilli; Caryophanales; Staphylococcaceae.
UUUAUUCUGCUCAGGAUGAACGCUGGCGGCGUGCCUAAUACAUGCAAGUCGAGCGAACAGAUAAGGAGCUUGCUCCUUUGACGUUAGCGGCGGACGGGUGAGUAACACGUGGAUAACCUACCUAUAAGACUGGGAUAACUUCGGGAAACCGGAGCUAAUACCGGAUAACAUAUUGAACCGCAUGGUUCAAUAGUGAAAGGCGGCUUUGCUGUCACUUAUAGAUGGAUCCGCGCCGUAUUAGCUAGUUGGUAAGGUAACGGCUUACCAAGGCAACGAUACGUAGCCGACCUGAGAGGGUGAUCGGCCACACUGGAACUGAGACACGGUCCAGACUCCUACGGGAGGCAGCAGUAGGGAAUCUUCCGCAAUGGGCGAAAGCCUGACGGAGCAACGCCGCGUGAGUGAUGAAGGUCUUCGGAUCGUAAAACUCUGUUAUCAGGGAAGAACAAAUGUGUAAGUAACUGUGCACAUCUUGACGGUACCUGAUCAGAAAGCCACGGCUAACUACGUGCCAGCAGCCGCGGUAAUACGUAGGUGGCAAGCGUUAUCCGGAAUUAUUGGGCGUAAAGCGCGCGUAGGCGGUUUUUUAAGUCUGAUGUGAAAGCCCACGGCUCAACCGUGGAGGGUCAUUGGAAACUGGAAAACUUGAGUGCAGAAGAGGAAAGUGGAAUUCCAUGUGUAGCGGUGAAAUGCGCAGAGAUAUGGAGGAACACCAGUGGCGAAGGCGACUUUCUGGUCUGUAACUGACGCUGAUGUGCGAAAGCGUGGGGAUCAAACAGGAUUAGAUACCCUGGUAGUCCACGCCGUAAACGAUGAGUGCUAAGUGUUAGGGGGUUUCCGCCCCUUAGUGCUGCAGCUAACGCAUAAGCACUCCGCCUGGGAGACUCGAC